This is a non-coding RNA of Rattus norvegicus (Norway rat), 1152 nucleotides long. Lineage: Eukaryota; Metazoa; Chordata; Mammalia; Rodentia; Muridae. The record is from RefSeq and is a predicted model, not a curated record.
ACUGCCUUUCAAAAGAUCCAACACUCCAUAAAGAGAACGCCGCCCUAGGUUGUAAACAAGUCUUGGCCGAAUACAUGCGUGCUGUUGGAGACAAGUCAUUUGUCCACACCUCUACACUACAGGCUGAGUGGGAGAAGAUUUUGAGCUGAAUGUUGGGAUUGCUCUCUCUGUUUCAAUAUACAGGCUUUAAAUGUGAGAGCUUUAUGAGGACCCAGUGCAAAUCUAGGUUGGGAAAGAAUGGUCAGCUUAGCCAUUUGCCUGCAAAUCUGUAGAGAAGCCUAUAUGUAGUCCCACCGAUGGCAUCUUUGGCCAAACUGAGUGUGGUUCCUCCAGUGAGGCUGAGCGAGGAGAGGUGGUCAGUGAUCAUCAUUGUAGAGGUCUCUAUGAUGUCAUCUCCUUUACUUGACCAGCCUGGACACCAACUUCCUCUCUACAUGGUCUUUCUUUCUAGAAGCCACGGUUGCUCAAGCCAAAGCCACUAACCAGAGCUUUCAAAAGAACUUGGAUUCCUUAUUUUACCUGUUUCAUGAUUGUUUUAGACUGCUCAAGGCUCUAACAAGAAGGACUAUGGAACAAUGGAAUCAUUUUAAUAAAUCAUACAGCCAAAAGUACUUCAUAUUUAAGAGCAUUGAGAGAAAAAGCCUCCAAACAGGACAUUACAUGUGUUUGUUAAAAAUGGAGACCCACGAAUAUUCUGUUUUUAAGCAGCAAUGAUCUAUUCUCCCAAGUGAAGCCUUGGAAUGUGAAGUCCCAGCUCAAGUAUCAGCUACACUGUGUUUCAGGGACCUACAGUCAAGUGAAGUUCUAAAAUACCCAGUGGAAAAUUUUCAGAACCGAUCAACGCACGGCUUUCCAGUGCUACUUGCCGUUCCACUCGGUGCUAUGAAUCUUACAUCAGGCUAUUCUGCCUCACCUGGAAUAUGAGUCAACCUUCUGUCCAGCAUUUCCAUGAUGCUUCUGCAAGUCACACGUUAGUCACUCAGUAGCUGUCCUAGUUAUCAGAUUGACCCUUGUGACAUGGCCGUUCAAGAAGCCAUCAUUCUAUUUAAAAAUGGCCUCGAAGUGCAAGGACAUGGGAGAUAUGCUAAAGAAAGAAGCACAAUACUUUCUUGAUAUAAAAGGUAACAGAUACACUGUGAUAAUUGAAUGCUA